CUGUGAGGGGACGUCCUGGGGAAGAAUGAAGACAGAGCCAUAGAGUUCCUCAUGUGAGAUUCUUGGCGCAGCACUAGGAUGUCCGUGGAUCCCAGUGAUGGGGGUCCAGGGGUCAGAGCUCCUGGGUCACUGCUGCUGUGAUGAAGCCCAGGGUGGCAUGGGUGGGCAUCAGGAUAGCCUCCACGAUGUGCCACGGGGCUGGGGGUGCGAGGACUCGUGAUAAGCAAGCUGUCUGCUGGAAGCCAAGUGCUAGCACCUUCCCUCCAGCCUGUGGGUAGAAUGAGCAGUUCAAGAAAGUGGAAACAAGGUUGACGUCCCUGAGUGGGCAGUGAGGAGUGUGAGCCUGCCCCCAGCCCCGGCAUUGACCCCACAGGGCGUUGACCCCCAGGCCAAAGCCAGUGAGAGUCAGCUCUCUGACCACUCAACCUGGCUCCAAAGCUGGUGACCUCUACUAAUGACCCAGAGUGGACAGGCUGGACUGGAGGGUCCAUGGAGCCCUUGCUUAUCUCCCCCACCUCCUAAGAGGCAGGAAAAGCAAUCUUCUUGUGUUGUUUAUUUUUGGCUGCACUGGGUUUUUGCUGCUGAGCCCAGGCUUUCUCUAUUGCAGUGACUGGGGGCUCCUCUCUAGUUGUGGUCCUCAGGUUUCUCAUUGCGGUGGCUUCCCUUGUUGCGGGUCCUGGACUCUAGAUCGCAGGCUCAGCCGUUUGGCACAUGGGCUUAGGUGCCCCGAGGCCUGUGGGAUCCUCCAGGACCAGAGAUCAAACUCGUGUACCCUACAUGGGAAGGUGGACUCCCAGCCACUGGACCACCAGAGAAGUCCAAAACCAAUCUCAGUCCUGGUUUGGAGCCAGGCGGGCUAUUCCUUCUUCUGUUUCAGAAACCUCUCUCCCCUCAGCUGGUGUCCUGAUCAUUCUAGGUCCUUGGCUUUAGGGCUUUGAAUUUUAGAUUUUUAAUCUUAAUUCUAAGACUUAUCUGAGAAACCCUGAAGGCAGGAGUAAGUUUUUAGCCUGGGAAUGCUGAGUGACCUUCAGAGUAUUGCUGACACUCUUCAAGUGCGUGGGGCAUGUGUGUGAGUAUGUUCGCAGAUUUUAGUAAAUAUCUGAGGGCUGUGCUACCAUCUUGUCUUCAGUGGGAUCCCUUGCCAGGAAGAUGAAAACACAAACUUACAAAAUGUUAAUGUGCUGUUUCCAAAAGACAUCUGACAACCCCACAAUGGCGCAUCUCAGAGGGCACAAUACAGGCUAUAAAUGUCAUCCCGAGAGAGCUGUUUACAGUCUCUGACCCUAGUUUCCAAAUUACAGCAUGAAAUUUCUGUUCAUAACAAAUUUGAAAUUCAGCCUGUUCUCCUACUGAACAAGCAAGUGUAAUAGGAGGGACAAAGUAAUGGAAAAGAGGUGCAUAUGACAGAGUGCUUUCCUGGCAGUGUAUUUUGGGGAUUCCUGGUUGUACUGAAUUAUUUCUUCCCUGGAUAGUGAUCUUAAGACUUUCUUCCAAAAACAGACAUUUUUGUUCUUUCUUUAGGUUGUGGACACAGUAGUAGAAUGCUUAAUUUGUGUGACUCUCACACAAGUGUGUGCCUGAGAAGAAAAUAGUCUUCAUCACAUGCACAUCACUGGAUGAUGAAUCAACUUGACCUUCCCUACUCCAGUCUCCAAGGUCAUCCACCAUAUCACCCGACCAGUUGCAUCUGCCACUUACCCGCUGUUGUCUGCGUAAGACACACAA
Molecule: non-coding RNA, 1725 nt
Organism: Odocoileus virginianus texanus
Lineage: Eukaryota; Metazoa; Chordata; Mammalia; Artiodactyla; Cervidae
Source: RefSeq, a predicted model, not a curated record